GAGCCUUUAAUGGUAUUCCUCGAUCUCCAAUGGGUGGACCCUGUUAUUUGGGAAAAUUAGCUCUAGCACACCCAAGCCUUCACCAAUUACAGAAGUGGACAAGGAGGAUUAAAAGGAGUAUACACGAACUUGAUUGUAAGGGUGAGGGUGCACCAGAGUUUUGGGGCACCGCUGCCAGAAUCGCAACGUCGUUUCUGUGUCCAAGACGCGCGGCUGCUAAAAGCCUCAGGCUGCUUAGACAGUUAGCGUGCUGGGAGAGAGGAGAAUGGAACAUAACUUCUGAGACCCUCGAUGAACUUAGUCAGGAUGUUAUUAGCGUCCAACAUGAGUUACUGCAAAAUAGAGCAGCCAUAGAUUUUUCACUUUUGGCUCAUGGACAUGGCUGCGAAGAAUUUGAAGGUAUGUGCUGCAUGAAUCUGUCGGAUCAUAGUAAAUCCAUACAUGGCCAUCUAAGCGAAUUAAGAGAUAAUCUGAAAAAAUUGAAGGAACGGGACUCCAUUUUUGACACCUGGUGGCAUGGUCUAGGGUGGCCUGCGUGGGCUGCACAACUUUUAAAGGAAGGGUUGCAAUUAGCGGGUUUUGCACUUCUGUUGAUCAUCGCAGGAUUAGUUGCCUUAGGCACUGUUAGACGCCUGCUGCAAAAGGCUGCCCAUAUGAUCUUGCUAGCGCAAAAAGAAAAGGGGGGAGAUGAGGUGGAAGAAUGGUUAAAAGAAUUGGGGCGCUAUGAAUACGCUAACCCUGUAUUUAACCUAGAGUAACCCGGGCACAAUGCAUACGCUAACCCUGUGUUUGACCUAGAGUAACCCUAGGGUAAAAAGUAGGGUGCGAGCCGCUUGAGCAAGAGCAAGUAGGUACACCCCCUGAAUCCACCACCUGGAUCUGGAGGUCGCAGAGUAAGCGGAACGAGACUACCGGUAGCACGUGAACCGAGUGACCAGACCAAUCAGGCUGCUGGAGGAUGCGCGUGGACCAAGAGACUUAACCAAUCCAAGCACUGGAAGUGGCACGUGAUAGCUCAGGGGGAAAUAAAAGAUCACUGGGGGAAAGCUUCGGGGCUGCUAUGCAGACGCUAGAAUAAA
RNAcentral lists this long non-coding RNA (1079 nucleotides) under Struthio camelus australis. Its description in RNAcentral is "lncRNA (ENSSCUG00000009947.1)". The record is from RNAcentral. Lineage: Eukaryota; Metazoa; Chordata; Aves; Struthioniformes; Struthionidae.